Molecule: long non-coding RNA, 14412 nt
Organism: Phasianus colchicus (ring-necked pheasant)
Lineage: Eukaryota; Metazoa; Chordata; Aves; Galliformes; Phasianidae
Source: RefSeq, a predicted model, not a curated record
UCAAUUCCAAUGCUUAUUUUUAAAACUUUUGAUAGCAUCCCGUUUGGCUAAUAUCUGCAGUAACUGCAAAAUGUUUGAAGUUAGGCUGUUCGGCUUUCCUCCGUCUCCGACGAGUGCGACGACGGGCAGCGAGGACGAGCUGCGGGUCGCAAAGCAACUUGCCUCGGUGAACCCGUACGGCAUAAAAUAGCGAUGAAGAUGAUGAUGAUUUAAGCAUCCGCAAAGCCUUCGCUGUCUUUCUGCGUCAGUAAAAUGUCCACGGGCCGUAGGUACGGACGCGUUCUGGAAACCGUUGAUUUAUUCCGUUGUUCCUAUCGACUGAAAAGGAUGACGGCUGUUAGCUUUGAAGGGCUCCCCCGAGUUGCUGUGAGUUGCGUAGUUCAGGUGUCUGAUUUGAAGUGUUAUUGCUUGGGACGGCUAAAAGAAGAAAACCCAAAGAAACUGUCGGUUAAACGCAAAUAGCAUUGGAAAUGUUUUCGUUCCUUUCAUUCGGUCAUCCCUCGAGUGAAUUUUUCAAAUGAGAGCAAAGUUCUGUUAGAGCGAUGACAAAUAGAAAAUAGUAUUUACUACCAUUUGUGCAGGAAACUGCAAUAAAACUUGCCGACGGGGUGAAAUACGGCGCGGUCCCUUUGAAAAUGACACGGGACUAGUUAAUCCUGCCAACUCCGUGAAGGAGAAAGGCAAGUUUACGUAAUUCGAGAAGAAAAUGAAAACAACGCUCGAUUCUUUUGUUGCGCCUCUCUCUGUGAAGUGAAUUCUAAUGGCCCAUCUCGCGCUUUGAAGGACUCGUUGGUGCUUACGUAGUUAUGAUAUCAUACCUGUGCUUAAGCUAUGAGCUCAGGCUGGAUGUAAAUAACGUUUCGUUACUCUUGUUUCCACGCUAGAUGCAACUUCUUUGGACACCUGAUAGUUAUUUCAAGAUCUGCGUUUAACUACUCAGAAUAAGUCUACGUACCAUGCAUUCUGAACCUCCCGCCUAGCCUAGCAGAAAGUACCCUGCGCUACGCGGACGCCACGAUCGCCUCGGCCCCGACGAGAUAUCGAGAGGAUAGCGCAGCGAUUCAAAGCGUGCGUUUACCUUUGCCGAGACGUGAAAGACUGCACUUCUGUGGGUCAAAACCAGCACUUACCGCAAGCGUAUCCUCGUAGACGUAUCCGUAGUAGGGAGUCGCUAUGAAUGGGGGAGGAGCGUCCCGAACAUCCUCCACGUUGACGAAGGAAACGAUAAACAGACGGAAAAAGAUAGCAGACUAUAAAACCCUGCCGUGAAACCAAGACAACAGUAGCAAAGUAGUGAAUUUUCAGGGGAUUUCACUCUGCUGAAGCAUGCGUGCAAUUUCAGUGGAAAAUCAAAUAGGUGAGUGUGAUCGAAGUCUCCCAGGGGAUCUUACGUGGCGGAAGUGAAAGCACAGGGAAUGACGCGUCCCAAAGCCGGGCCUGCGUACACCGAUGCUCGCUUCUCAGCGAAUCUCAAUACGUACGGGUGACUUUCUGCAAAGGAGCUCGCUGCCCCGGCGCUAGAGACUGAGCUCAGCGUGGGGAAUCUGCCCCCGGAUGUUGAUCGGCCGCAGGCAUUGGCCGGUUUUCUGCCUCACCUCUCCACGGUGCUCUCCGUUCCUUCGGACGUGGCAGAGGAGAGUGACUCUGCUGUCUCAGUGUCUAACGUCUUAUUUCAACGACCCUUUAAAUCACGCUUCUCUUGGACCUAAGUUGCCCUACUCAAAUGCAAUCCUUCAACACUACCAGUUGCAGAAGAAAGCUUUGUACCUUGGCUACCACGACAACAAAGUGCGUUCUUGACUUCUCGUAGUCCAGGGUGACCCCUGAUUUGAUGCGUGGGACGCCGCUGUGAUGAUCUACUGUAAACACGGAUGUGCUAGAGCAAAAGGAAAGGAGACGUGGCAGAAGAUUACAGGUAUGUAAAAAAAAGAAAAAAAAAAAAAAUGCUGUAGGGAUUAAUCUCGUAUUUCAUCUGCUAAAAGACAAGACUAAAAUAAUGAUAAGGUUUGGGUGAGUAAUGUAUCUGAUGAAUUUCACCUCUGCGUGUUUAUUAACAAAUCAUGAACCAGCCACGAGCCUUUAGUUAUUCAGAACAAAUCGGUUACCUUCAGUGUGGGUUUUCAAAAUCUUUUCCGUGGUGAAUAGACACCCAAAAGACAUCUGAUUUUCAAAAGGGCCUGAAAAUGUCUCCCUCCCCUUACGGCGAGAGUCCCUAAACGCGCGGCUUUGGGCUUCCGUUCGCUACGGUUGCUGUCACAGUCUUUGUCCUUUCGGUGAUGUCACUACCUGCCCACACCGGACUCUUGUACGAGAGCGCUCUUUCCGAGCAAACUAAGAAUUGCGCCAAAGGAUGCGGCGGCAUUCUUUCGAUAAAUAAAAUGAUUUAGUAAUCUUUGCGUCACGCAAAUAUUUUAGCUAGACCUGGGAGCUCAAAAUAGCUGUUCCUGUCUUCGGAGUCUAAUGGCUUAUUGGAAAAAGCCCCGUGCAAAACUGAAUCCCGCAUGUACUGAAUUUUAACUGGUUCGUAAUUGGUGAAAUCAAAACUGAAUUUCAACAAGGUGCUCUUUCUCAGUAUGCCCGAGCUCUUAACAGGAUUAUCUUUAAUGCUAUGUAAAUAUAUUCCAACUUGUCUCCAUGCAGUAUCUAAGGCACAUAGCGCAACAAAUAGCUGCGUGUUGUUCUGUAUUCCGCGGCCUUUAGAAUAAGGGGAACUACAGCUCAUCUGGAGGGAAAUGGUCACGGAAAUAAUGAAUUUCAAGGGCAUCGCGUAACAAGUUGCCCUUUUGGCAUGCGAAUGUCUGUCCAGCUUCAAAUAUGGAAGCCUUUCUGUUCUUCCCCAGAGGGUGACACCGGCAAGGCUGGUUGCAAGUGGGCUCCAGCUUUGUCGGAAAGAAGACGUAGCGCUCUAUACUGCGAUACGGGUUUCAAUUUUGCACCGGCCUGCUGCAUCCAACAACAGACAGGGAUUCCGUGCGCAUUCCCUUCCGAAGGAAGCUAUAUCGUGCUUUUGAUAUCCCACCUGCGCACAGGGUUACGAGUUAGACUCGCUCUCCUGUCCGCCCAAAGAGGGGGCCAACAGGAGCUGUGCUGUGACGUGUAAGAGUGACGGCGGCGAGCCCUGUUCCGACGUCUGCCUGCCAGGCUGUGCGUGGCUGCGUGCUGGCAGGCGAUAACUUUUGGCCAAAGCUUGUUUUCUUGUGCGUGCUACAGAAUUGGCCCUAUAGAUGCUAGUAGCAGCUCCAUCGUCUGAAUCUUAAAUGAGAGAUGAGUCUCGAAAGUACGGAUAAUACUUUACCUGCAAGAAGUAGGUGAUAGUUCCUCUGGAACCAGUCUCUCUGUCAAGUGCCGUGAUCUUAAAGGUACUGCUGCCGGAGGGAGAGUUCUGUAACAGAAAGCGGUACAACGAUCAGACAGAAGCGGCAAACCAGCAAACUACAAGAAGUGAAAACUGUGUGUGUAAGGAGGCAGAGAGAGGGAGUGCUGGUAGAAAGAACGUACGUGAAAGAGGGAACCAAACAGGCGAGAGAGUAAAAACGGAGGAAACCGGAGCAGAACGAGGAAGUAAAGCUUUCUAGAAUAAACGGGAUGGGAAAUCUGCUAAAAUAGAGCGUACCCUAUUUCCACGGAAACCGAUUCUAAAAUCACAUUGAUCACAUUUGCGGAACGGACCUGGAGUAGCAUGCCUUAAGGCCAUACACCGCAACAAAAGAAUGCGCGUUAGUCCUACCUAUCUUGUGACUUUACUAAAAACAAACCGGCUCCUCUUUACAGUCUACCGAAAGCAGUACGCAAAGAAAUCUUCACCAACCUCUGGAACUCGGACUAUGUAAGGUGUAUUGAUGAACUCCGGGCUCUCAUCAUGAGCGUCCGUUACAAGGAUCCUCGCUUUCUCUGAAACCCGGAGUGGAACAGGAAGAACACGGAAUGACUCAAGCUCAUUUACGUGAACCCGUAACAAAACUGAGCGUAUAAAAGAAAAAAAACAAAGAAAUGAACCAAAACCUGGAAAUGCAAGAAACCAGAAUAAUUAGCCGUGUGGAGAACACCCAGGUAUUUCGAACGUGAAAAAGGAGUCUUAUGCAUAUCGUGGGUUACAGAUUGGGGAUAAUUCACAGAAGUCAUUUUUCUUCUUUAUGGUGUUCGAGCUACCGCGAUACAUUUUACGGGAAUUCAUAAAAGACUGCGUGAAAGUUGGUACCUGGCAGCCAAGAGCAUUAACGAUUAUCUCAUUUGGUAUCAUCUUACUAGGUCAAUAGGAUGCAAAAUUUAGAUGUCGGAAUAUGUGCUUUUUAACAGUCUACCCUGUCAAAUCUGCCUUCAUAAAAAAAUAUGGAAUCGAAAUAUAUUUUGUCGACAGAACUUCCCACGUUUCUGCAAAGUGGGCACGUGCAAGCGAUCUCAUUAAUAGAUUUUCUGUAAAUAGAUCCCUAUUUACAGAAAUGGUGAGAGCCAUCGUGUUUGUAGGAUGUAGGUACCCUCCAAACACAGAAUGAUAUCGCUCUGUUUGAGAUAAGGAAAAGCUGUAGAGUUAUCUGGUUUUGGGGGUAGUUAGAGGGUCACGUUUUUGUGGCACUUCCAGGGACGAAGCCCAGGUCCUCUUACUGGCAGUCUAAUAUCCUGACCACGAGAACAUCUAUCCUUAAACUGAAAAUGCAAUGGAAAUUUGUAGAUCUAGGACUGGCUGCUCGCGCCUCGUAUAAGCCCUUAAUGAUUAGAUGUGAUCAAAGCUGUGUUCAGCAGCAGACAAGAAAACCACCUUGGCCUCAGCAAAUCUUCUCAACUCUUCUUACAAGAGAAACAUUGCGGGGGUGGAGGCCAGUCAGCUAUUGCACGUCUAACUCUGGUUCCAGUCCUGUUACGCUUCUAACCGAAAAAAAUCUUCACCUAUUUCUUAGUUAUGAGUCCUGCUGAGCUGACAGCGAAACAUCAGGGGAAGCUCCUGUUAUUCCGUAGCCUACUAAAUCAAACUUUCGCCUCACGCAACGCUGUAAAUACCCCUACGCAGCUGGAUUGAGACCUGAGUUACUGGCGGAUUCACGGCUGCCGAAGCAGGAGGUAAGGCUCUAAUGAGAUAAUGUUUUCUGAUAAAACCAGAUAGUCCCUGAAAAGUAAUUUAAUGAAAGGAGGCGCAACUGCAGGGUGAGCGUUUGUCAAGUUAGAGUAGAAUUAAUACUUACUGUACUCAGGCCGUCUGAAAUACUGACGAUAACUUCAAUCUCAUCUUCUUUCUGUAAGACAGCGACGCACAUUUGUCAGGCGGUUUUGCUCAUACUGGAGAAAGAGCUGCAGACUUAAACACGUCUCAGCAGGAAUGAGAAAAUAGCAACUGAUACAAGAAAACCGGAGCAGAGGCUAGGGAGACCCCUCAGAGCCUUCAGCUGAAGUGCUCCAUGGGCUGCCCGGAGAUGCGGACGUGAGACGGCUGCUCUGGGAAUUCGUAUCGCAUUAUGAAGCGCUAAUGAAACAUCAGUCAUCUUUUUGGAGAAAUACUUCCUAGAACGCCAUUAUUAGUUCAAAAUUACUCUGUGUUAGCGUCCGCUAUCGUCGGGAACAUCUCGAACGACCCACGUGGUUAAGCGUUAAAGGAGCGUGACGUAACCGGAAACGUGUCCUCAGACACUGCUUAUGGAAAUUCCUACUUCCCCCUAUCACGGCAGAGUUCUGAAGAAAUCCAAUCGUAUCUGUUCUCGAUAGCGUGCGGGUGGGGGCGCAUAGGAAUAAAAAAUAAACUCCUCCGGCCAAAGCUGAAAAGAGAGCCCUCAGCUGCCAAAAAAUUUGAUCGUACUGCCGGAAGUUCAAGUCAACUGGAAAACAACCCGACGGGUCAAUUAUAGCGCCUCGAAGUUUCAAAUUACAUGUCUCAGGCGCAAACGAGUUGGCACUGUCCCUCAAAGGCAUGGAUCAACUGAAAGUCAAGGAAAUUCCACAAAAGCCAAGUGAGGACAUCUCACUGCACGCUACCUCUCUGUCAAGUUCCUCGAUCAGCAUCACGUUUCCAAGGUUCCCGUCGACAGAAAAGUAGCGCCUGGAUCCAGCUUCAGGGUCAGGCCGUACGUCACGGGAUCUCCUUCCGGAUUGGUUCCGUUCAGAGUAUACACUUGGGCACCUGAAAAAGCGGCCGCUGAGCGCUUCCCUGAGGUUAUGCCGGCAGUGAAUAUAUCUCCAGCCUGCUUCAUAAGGACUUAACCAUCCUGCAGGAGGCAAAGCUUCUGCGAAUCAAACCUACCGCAAAGUACAGGCAUGCAGGCAGUUCAGCGGUUCCGACUGUCUGCUUUGACCCUGACGGUUAAACUGAAUUCACCGGUGCCGUUUUCCCUCGGUUAGGGGCCUUUCCUGUGCAGCUGUACCGUUUGCACCGCGGCUGCUACACAGGGAACAAAUUCCUGACUAUCGACCCGAGUGAGUCCGAAGCGAUGCUGCUGUAAGACCGGGAGACCAUCCUGGCAGCAGCAGCAAAAGGCCCUCACGCAAACCAGCCUGGGCCGAGGGCAGCGCUCCCGCCGGACGAGGCCCGGGCUCUGGAGACGUGGGGACAUUCGCAGACUUGUUUGCCUUCAGACUUACGAGCGAAAGUCUUCCUUCCUGCUUAGCUCCCGCCGUUACUUUUCUCUCAUUAAACUCUCCGCUUAGCACGUUCGCUUUUGCGCAUGCCAAUGAAUACAUUCUCUAAAUUCAUCGAUAUAUUUCCUCCACGCGCCGGGGAAAGAAAGAUCGUCAUUUCCAUUUUUACACGUCUGAGAACUAAGUGCCAGUUUUCACAUUAAACUGGCUUUGCUUAUCCGAAGUGAUGAUUUCUGCGGGAGUAAUGACGCCCGCGCUUUCAAAAGAUGGCGAAUGCUUCUCGGUAUCAUUUUUAUUAAGCUUGGAUGUCUGUCAUUUUUCUAUGCAUUAAUAUCUCCAUCCAAAUAACUGCAAGCACUUUGUGACUAUCAAUAACUGAGCGUGAUAUUUAAAACACAUUUCUGCAGUUUUCUUUUACCUCAUAGCAGCCUGCCGCGAUUGGGGAGCCUUAUCUGAGAUACCCAGGUUACAGAGGUGCAGGACGCAAACUGAGAGGGACGUGCACGGUCAGGCCGCCUCACCUGGGCUUCUUCACCCGCCCUAGAAGUGCUUCACCAGGAAAGGCAAUGAGCAAUCAGCAGCAAGCCCGCAGGUGGCUAUGGAUUGCAAGCUCACUCUCGGGCAGGAUGAGCUGCUCGAGGACAGGGACCAUAAACCAUGACCCCAAACCUGCUCUUCAUCAACCGCCGCUGCUGCUGCUGCACACCCACACCCUGGCUGACUUGGGAGGGGAGGUAGCCACGCCAGAAAACAGCAAAGGAGCUGCAGGAGGUACGGGGAAGCUUGAAGGAUGGAGUGAGGAGCUGGAGCUGUGAGCGCAAAGAAGUGCAACUGAAAACUGCUUUCAGUGGGAGGGAACGCAUAUGUGGGAGCAUGAGGGGAAAAAAAAGAAGAAAAGCAAGCACGAGAGGCGUGAACAAAUCUCCAAAGCACUGAGAAUGCCUGGACUCUCAGAAGCGAGCCCUUAUGAGGGUGCUUCGAUCCCUUGUUUUGCAUCUCUUCUCAGCGUUCCGCUACGAGGGCUUACGGGAUUAAUGGGGUAAGACGAAGCAAACAACCUGAAAUAGCAUCUCACACGCGCUGUAAGACCUUGAUUAGGGUCACGUACGUCUUGUACGUACACAGGCAACUCUUUGCCACGAGCUCAGCGCCAGACAUCCCUACCUGCCCCGAUGCGCGACUGCUCAAACUGCAGCUGCCGCUUUAGCUCAUUCCGUUUCCCAUGGUCCUUAUAUCUGCCACCGGAAGGGGCUGCUGUUCUGGCCCCUCUGACAACAAGGUCUCUCACGAUCUGCAGCUUAAAAGGAAUCUGGAGAUACACGGGCAAUUCCAAGCUGUCACAUACGAAUAGCAAUUGCUUUCUUUACGGUAACUGACAUCAUAAUGUAUAUAACUAACAGUCCACAGCUACCUAUGAGCAGACAAAAUACCACAAGGGAAAAGAAGGCCAGGUAAAAGAUGACACGAGCACGAUAAUGCGCUUUUCUUGAACUUGGCGCUUUCUUGUAGCUGCGGCACUUCUUCCUACAGCAGCAGGGACAAACCAUCACCUCCUUUCAGUGCUCUGAAAUUCUACGCGUCCCUCACCUGCACGGGCCAGGGACCGUAACUAACGCGCAGCUUGUAACCUCAGCAGAGCCGAAGCACUUCCCGUCAGAUGCUGGCUGCGGCUGGGGCACAGCCAAAUAAAGCAUCCUCCCUGAACUCCCAUUCUUAUGUGAGCACAGACGAGACCUAAUGCCAACCCACCCCAGCAUUUCCGCAGCACUAAGCCUGAGCGAAGCCACCCGGAAUCAGCCAUACGCAAGCUUCGGUGCCCCUGAUUCGUCACUGAUCAUCCUGCUCAAAAGUCUAACAUGACUGCGGGACUACGGAUGCUGGGAACUGCGCACGGAUGCAGGAAACGGAUAAAUCUCUCUUCCAGGUUCCCCUGCAGUGCUGGGUCCUCAAGUUGAGCUGUGGCCCGGCUCUGGCCCUCCCGCUCUGUGCAGUGCUGGGAGUUGCUUCUCCCUUGACUUUUAAAACACGUUUGUAAAGCAAUCGGCAAGUACAGACCGGCUAAUGUAGCGUUCUGGCCAAAGACCGCAGUCAUGAGCAAUAGCAGCGCUGCAGAUAGGGCAGCUGAUAUAACCCCUGACCCCUCACGGGCGUUCAGCCAUCUGGGCACACACACGCUCACCUUUGCCUGCCUGCAGCUCCUGAUGGAUGCCAGGGUGCGGCCGUCUCCCUCCUCUGCGCACAAGGUUAAUAGAAAAUGGGUGCUCCGGUAAUCCACUGACGAUAGCCGAGAACUUUUCUUUACAGACGAAUGAGCGAAGACUGAAGAAAAUCUCAGCGCUACGCCUGGAGGUCUUCAUCACAGCAAUUUAAUACACAUUAUCAUUUUUUAGAUGAUCGGAAGUUGUCUUUUUCCCAUGGGAAACGCUGAUUAAUAGUUAUCCGUUUGUUCUAUUCAAUUUUUCUGAAUGCAAUUACAGUUUAAGGAAGAUGCGUCUAAGCCCACCCACAAAGCAUUCAGUCUGAGAACGCAUCAGUUUUUGAAUUUUCGGUGAAACAAAACUAAACUUGUUUCAAAAGAAACGGUUGUUGUUACCGAGCGGUUCUUCUCUAAGCAGAAACGUGUUCGACCAUUUGUACAUAAGGAACAUGGUAACUGCACAGAAAACCACGCCUCUCACUUUGCAGUGAACAGCUUGCUCUUAUCAGGGAUGACAAAGUUAACAGCGAUAAUUUUGUGCUCUCAUAAACGGCACUGAUGAGAAGAUCCCAAAGGUCCUUGCCCUACGCCGCGAACAGAUUCACGGACCGAGGAAAGGGGAAUAAAACAUCACGCUUCAAAUUACAGCUGCAAUUCAGAUGUGCCGCUGUGAAUCAAAAGCUUGAGAAGAAAACCCACGGUGUUUAUUACCGCCUAUGACAAAAUGCGUGUUGCCAUGCAAAAGAGCAAAUGGCUUCGGCUCCAUACUUCAAUCGCAUGCGUUUGAAUACUGACCGACAGGUGUGUCCUCGGAAAGGCUGAGGAGUGCCAUGUUCCCAUUCGUGCUCCUGGCUCCGUUAUCGAAGAAAUAGGGGGCAUAAUUUGCCUGAACUGCAAUUAAAACAGAAGGCAAAGAAAAACGCGUCAUCGGUGGCAGUUACCUAGCUGUUACCCGACUCUCAGUAAACACGAGCUCCACGGGGAAUACUGUAAGGGCGCAACGUACCCGUCGCUGCAGCACGCUUUCAGGGUUCUAUCCGCACGGGCGCUUUCAAUACACUCGCUUCUACCUGCUACCGUGCGUUCGCACAGCAGCCAACGAAGAAGAAGAGCGUGUAAAUAAAUGCUGAGGGAACCAAACUAAGCAGCGGGACCUCUCUAAGAAAUCUCAAUCAGCUCUGGGCAUCUGCAAAACAUUAACCCUCCCGGCAAUACCCGCACGCCUCACCCUGCACUGCACGUGUGGGUCUGAAGCUCCCGGUGCCUCAGCACCUCUCCCACUGCUCUGAACACAUUCUGUGUUCAGAAUGCCCACUAACGUUAUGCCUACUGCACGAGCGAUUAGCCAGAAUUAAAUUGUUACUUACUUCCUGCCAGACAACAGCAGAGUUUAAGAAAACAAAAAACAAAGAACAGGUUAGUGGUGUGCCUACCGACGCAGUCAGCUUCUAAACGGCCCAUCUGAAAGAAAUCUAUGUAAGCACAGCGGGAAACAAUUGCACGGGGGUCAGCAGUCGGCAGGGAAAAUAUUUCAGGACGACGUUACCACAACAGUAAGGAUCACCACGGGAUUUAAGGUUAUGCCGUACCUUCCUAUAUUCUUUCUCAAAGGGAUCAUCGUACUCACCGAGGCAGACGUGCAGCAAUCUGAGAAAUAAGGAGGGGACGAAAUGCUUUACACGCUUCAUCCCGCUGCAUAAGGGGACAAUUUCUUCUCUGUUUCAAGGAUUUUAAUUGUUUUUCUUCGAAAGGUCCAGGAAAGCAUCCUUCAGGCCGAUGCGGUGGAGAAACGUGCAAGAGGCAGUAACGGAUGCUAAGAUGUUAAGCGGAGGACACGUCUUGAUUUCUGAGGAAUUUCAAGCAGCUCCUUCCUACCACCUAAUUAGACCAAUUACUUUGCAGGGAGCCGCGGGACUCGUUUCUCAGGCAAGAUUUGGAGGAAGCAGUGCACCUUUCCCAGGUUCGGCUGCCGCGUUUGCGCUGUCCAAACGUGAAAAUCAGAGAAAAGGUGAAUCUGAAGGUCGCUUUCUUUCUGAUGUCUCUAAUUCCCUAAGCCGGCCCUCUGCUUCUAAGAGCCGCGAGAGGUUUCUCUUUGCUUCAUGUUUAGAAAUUACGAUAAACCAUUAAGGAAAAAAAUCUAGUACGAGCAGCAAAGAGUAAAUACCGUUGUUAAUGGCUCAAAGGAAAAAAAACGCAUUUGUGACGGCAGAAAAUUCAUCAAAUUGCACACUAAAAAUACAGAAUCAAAAGCUCUUCUUUCUUUUCAUUUUUUCUGUUUGUUUGAACGUUUAUUAAAUUCUUAAAUGCAUACAUUACUGGACAGACCUUACAUUCAGCAAGCAAUUUCUAACUCACUCGCUAAAAAUGUGGAAAAACUUGAAAAAUAGCUUUUCUUUCUUACUUUGGUUUUCCGCACAGAAAAUUUAUCCGCUUUAAUUAGAACUGUAUUUAUCGUCCCAUAAAUUAUAGAGCUAAAAAGCAGCCGGUGCGAAAAGUCGACGACAAAGUCGUCGGCUGCUGGAAGGAACUCCCUCUGCGAUGAUGCCUCCGGUCAGGGAUACUUACAAAGAGCGUUAGCUGUUUGGACGUGACCCGGGGCAAAGCGUUUGUCUUUUAAGCAUGCCUUCAAGAUGUUUCGGUUCUGCUUUUUGACUAACAGCAUGCACGAAAGAAGCGUUGGAAGAACUAACCGAAGAACCCCCCCUUGCAGUGCUUUUAACUCACCGGAAGCGACCGCAGCUCAGGGACCCAUGAUACAAAGAAGCGUGGAGCAGGAGGCAGCUCUGGACUCGGCAACGGGGAACGUUUUUGGCAUUUCCGCGCCUUCAGAUUCCACCGGACCUGCAGUGCUCCCGGGGGCGCUCCUUUGCCCACUGAACGAAUCAGCUGCGGUGCUCCCAGAAAAGAGCGUUGUGAAUAACGUCAGCAAAACUCGCCAUCCGUAGGGGAACGUGUAGGAGAGCGGAAAAGAGAGAAAAAGCUUGGAAAGGCUCCAGAGCAAAUAGGACAGACUCACAAAGGUAAGCAUCGUUGGGGAGUAGCAGCUACGACAGGACAGAAGCAAACUCCUGCUCAAGGAGGCACUCAAUUACCACCUGACAGAAGCUCAAAAGGUAAACGAGGGGAAACAUUCCUCUGCCUUACGUCAGCUUGCUCCUCUUACAGCUCCCACUUAACAGAUCAGACCUGUGGCGCGACCCGUUGCGACCGUUCUUACGCAGCAAAGCCGGGAAAAGCGCGGCAUCAAACCGAUGUUUGGCUGCGGCAACACCCUGCAGCGCUCAGGGGAUCCUGCAGCAGGCAGUUAAGAAGAACUCACGCACUCGCAAGGCAUUCAAAUUUACAAUACAAGGAUCCGACGUUGAAAACCGUGCGGGAGAGAAUGCACGUACAGAAGGGAGAUAUCAAUUUAAGGCCCGUUAGAGAUAUAAGCGUGUCAUCGUUGUUAACAAUAAUACUGAGCCACAGAUAAAAAAACAAAACGCACUCGCCCGGUGCCCGGGAAGAAACACAAAUAGUACCUAAACUUACACUCGCUUCUUCUUCAGCCCGCCGUUUUUAGCGCGCUUCUUUCUGCAGCUUUUUCCUAAGAAAAGGGAGGGUAAGCCCUGCAAAGCAGUUAGCUGUCAGCUCCCCUGACCGCGCUCCAGGGAUCUCAAUCCCCAGGGCCCGCUUCUCCGGGAAGCAAAAUGUCUCGCUCUGAAUUUCAACGAAGCUCAGCUCUUAAUCCCAGCAGAGUUUGAAAACCCAACCAAUGCGCUUCCGUGCACGCGCAGGCUAUACAGCCGGGGAGCGGCAUUCAAGCAGAACAUUUUUUUCUGUCAGAAAAUGCUCUUGCGUUAAAGCUAAUAGAGCUCACGGAACCGGGCUGAUUUUGACGGGAAGAGAAACGGCAGGAGGCGGUUUCGGGACAGCACUGUUUGUAGGAGUGGCAUAAUCCCACUCUCUAUACAACAAACCCUAUAGAAUUAAGUUUCCAAUCUGUAAAUUUUAAGCGUACCGAACGGCAAGAAACAAAAUAUAAGCAUCCCUCUUGUCCAGAAGCACCCCAGCACCCACCUCCGCCCGAGCUAAGGGCAAAGCACCUGAAGAUAAAGGCUGCUAUAACGUGAAGGUAGCCCUUCCACCUGGGUGCAACGCCCUCGCCGACGCCUCCCUGACAGCACCCGCUCGGCAUCUUCGCGUGAAGUUCUCGCCGUGCCCCGCUUCUGCCAGGUUUUGGAUGCUUGCACGUGGAGUUUAAAAGUGAGGGGAAAAUACAAUUAAAGAAAAAAGCGAUUAUGCUCCACUGCUCUGCUUUGCUUUAUAUUAACUGUAUGCAGUCUUCAUAUUUUAUGCCUGCCUUCGUUUGAGCUGAAGCCUCCUCUGUUUUAGUGUCCGGACAGUUUUGCUAAGUAAUGAAAUUCCCAUUUGUGUCAUAACUGCUCCAGCUCCACUUUUUCCUACGCUCAUCCUCCUACGCUGGCUGCAUACGCCAUUAAGCGCUACCUCGGGGCGGAACAUUCUGCGUUUCUUGUAAGUACACGCGCGUAAAUAAAUUCAACGCUACCGGUACCGCACACUUAAUAUAAACCUCACCGUGUGCAGAAAGAGCCCAAAUCACUCUCGCUUUCCCUCUCUAGAUCAGCCGCGAAGAGGAGCGCUGGGAGCAAUCGGCCGUUUCCGGAAGCAUUUUGCUUCCAGAGAAGAACGAUUCGCUCGGAAUUGCUUGGUUCAACAGCCACGAAGGAGAGAAACGGAGCUUAAGUCAUUUUCAAAACACUUCUUGAAAUUCUCCCUAUUUGUGAGUAUUCAGGUGCGAUAGGGGAGCGCUUGUUUACCACUGAAAGCAAAGGAAGGGGAAAAGGGGCGUCCACCGACACACAGCAGUAAGGCGGACGUCCCAACAGCCCUGAGCCUGGCAGAGCUGCGACCGCUGCCACGUAGUUUCUACCCCUCAAAAUUGACUUCCAAAUGACCGAGAAAUGACUCGGACUGCGGCACGUCACCACUCACCACGAACAUCUGUAACAUAAGGGUAAAAACAACGGAGGCGAACAAUCUAGCAACAAGCAACGAUGUCUAUUUCAAACAACUGUUUUCAGCGGUGAUGUUUCCAUGUGUCGCCUCGAAUCUUCCUACCGCAGCCCCAAAGUUUUUGGCUGCUGAGAGAAUCUAUGAGAAGCGCACGGGGAUCCUUAGUGCCGGAACCUGAGUGGUCCGAUGGCAGUAGACCAAAGCCUCAAGUUCCUUUAAGUCCCCUCCACCGUCCGUCAUUGUCGGAGUUUUCUUCCCAGCCGUAAGGAAGUAGAUUCACAGUACUGUUUCAUAAUAACAACGGCAAAAAAGAAACAGCCGUGCGAUAACAGGAGUUAGAUCUCAUCAGAGAUACGUGCUCGAGACGGUGGCAACUUGACACUUCCCUGUUACCAGAACAAAUAAAUCACUUCCUCUAUAAAGGUGACGUACCUCUCCGCAGCUUGUUCCCAUCACUGGAAAUAUGUAAAAUUGUUAAAAACAAGAGGGAAUUUCUUGACAGUCUCGGAGGAUUUAAGCCAAUAAACGUAUCUCUUUCUUCUUCUCACCGCGUUCCUGUUUUAUUUUGUACUGAACGAGCUUAAUGCCUUUACAUCUGAAAUAAAUGCUUAUCUCAAAGUUACACCGCUACUCGUGGG